This is a long non-coding RNA of Cyprinus carpio carpio, 2214 nucleotides long. Lineage: Eukaryota; Metazoa; Chordata; Actinopteri; Cypriniformes; Cyprinidae. The record is from Ensembl.
ACAAAUCUAGCCUAAAGACUAGAAACUGAUGCAAUCAAUUGUAUGUACUAAUGAAUAUAAUUAUUGGGAUAGGAAAUCCCAUCUUUUAUCUAUAUUUCUGACUGAGAAGGCAAUUGCUGGAAAUAUCUUAAAUCAGACACUCGCUUUUAGUGUCAAGGAUCCUUAGUGCAUACAGUAUGUUGUAUCACAUUAAGGCAUGGAUGAACUCUCUAUAAAAAAUUUGGUUUGAUAGAAUAGCUAAUAACACUGGUCCCUGGAAAAGAAUACUUGAUUCUGAUUGGCCACUCGCAGUAUCCAGCAAUAAUUGCCUAUAGCAAACCCUCUUCCAGGCAACUGAAACUGGCUCUACUUCGACAUCUCUUGUAUCACACCAUGGACUCACACUCUCUUGUUGCAUGCAAAUGCAACUGGCACCAUAUUGUGUCUCAGUUAUAACUGUAGUGAAAUUUACCUCAUCUGACUUCUGUAUUAAUAUUAGCCUACUGUAAUAUUAUUGUAGUGGUUGUCUUUUUGCAAGCACAGUUGUUUUGUUCACACUGCACUAGACUUUUCUUUCUUAGUGAAAUUAUAAAAUAAUUUCAACUCAUCAAUAUUAAAUGUCCACAUAUUUAUUUGCUAGUAGUUAUGCAAUAAGCUGAAUAAUGUACAGAGUUUGACUCCUAACCCUAAGGUUGUGGGUUCGAAUCUCGGGCCGGCAAUACCAUGACUGAGGUGCCCUUGAGCAGGGCACCAAACCCCCAACUGCUCCCCGGGCGCCACAGCAUAAAUGGCUGCCCACUGCUCCGGGUGUGUGUUCACGGUGUGUGUGUAUUCACUGCUGUGUGCGUACACUUUGGAUGGGUUAAAUCCAGAGCAUUCUGAGUAUGGGCUGUAUGUCACGUCACUUUUUUCAACUGCCAAGUUUAGAAGAGGCUAUGCAUGUCUUACAGUUUCUCAUAAUUGUGACCAAAGAAACUUUUAUCAACAAUUACCUCUUCAUUUAAUCUCAGAGAGAAAAUUACGUCUUUCUAAUGAAGCACUUUUGCCUCUUAAGGGACCUAUACCACUUUCAUUGGCCAAGACUGAAAGAUUGCUAGACUCAAUAAGGUGAGCCAGGUGAAAAGGACUCUGAGGAAUAAUUAAGAAUCACCAACACACAGAGCGAGACUGAGAAGAGAGAGAUGGAGACAGUGACAGAGAGAUGGAGCGAGGGACUUCUCUAUGUGUCAGACCUAACCUCUGCUAUGAUGAAAGGUGGGACUUCGCACUCAUACUGUGGACCUCCAUGACUUCCUGCAGAGAGUGCACCUGUCCUUCUCUCUCUGUCUUUCUGUCUCAUGACAGUCCAUCUGUGCUUUGUACCGAACAAUGCACUUUAGUUAUCUGCACAUAAGAAGCAUUAAGUGAGUUGCUUAGCUGGAACAGAUGCUUCUUAACUUUCCCUCAGCAUUGACAUUUGAAUAGAUGCAGCCUGUAGGAGUACAGAUGAUUUGACCAUGGCAGAUUCUCACUUCCUGCUCAAAAGAGACAAUGAUGUUCCUGUGGUAUCUUGAUUAUUAGGAGGGGAACCUCUGGCUCUUAUCAGGAGUCCCUGGACAAUAAAAGUGCCACGUUACAGAGAAAAGCCAUCAAUCCUCACCUCUCGCUUCCAGUCGUCCCUCUCCACCACGAGUAGCUAUAUCAGCUCCCACCCUCAAUGCAGUAUUUAUGGGUUAAAGGACAGCAUCAAAGGCAGCCCCACUCCAUCAUACUUCUUUUGACCUAAUUUCUGCAGAAAUGGAGACGGUUUAAAGGAAGAAAGUUUGUUUCUUCUCUUUUAACAUUUCUGGCUUCUUUUACCUUUUUUUUGUGCCUGAGUAUGAAAAUAUUAUCUAAUUAAGGGUGUGAAUGUGUUUUACAGAAAGAGAGCGAAUGCUGCUGUCCAUAUCUGUGUUGUAGCACAUAUUUCAAAGGAAGAAACAUUUGCAGUAUCAGCAUUCCCUGACAUCACUGUAAGGAUUUACUGUAUGUGUGACCUUACAUUGACUUUGAAUCUAGUCUCCCCUCACAAGCCCCAACUCCACCCUUCCUCCUAAAUCCUGAUUUAAAGAGUUGGUUCACCCCAAAUGUGGAAGUUCUGUCAGUCGUUUGUAUCAUUUACUUGAUGUUCUAAAUACAUUUUCAAAGGUUUUCUUUAUUCCUUGGAACUUAAAAGAAUUGGGUUUUCUGUAUACCAUAAAGCACAACAUGGCAAGG